Molecule: small nuclear RNA, 139 nt
Organism: Sapajus apella (tufted capuchin)
Lineage: Eukaryota; Metazoa; Chordata; Mammalia; Primates; Cebidae
Product: U4 spliceosomal RNA
Exons: 1
Source: RefSeq, a predicted model, not a curated record
AGCUUUGCAUAGUGGCAGUAUUGUAGCCAAUGAGGUUUAUCCGAGGCACGAUUAUUACUAAUUGAAAACUUCCCAAUACCCCGCCAUGGCGAUUUGAAAUAUAGUCGGCAUUGGCAAUUUUUGACAGUCUCUAUGGAGA